GCCAGGCAUGGUGGUGCAUGCCUGUAGUCCCAGCUUCCUGGGAGGCUGAGGUGGGAGGAUUGCUUGAGCCCAGGAAGUCAAGGCUGCAGCAAGCCAUGAUCGCACCACAUACUGUGUAGCCUGGGCAACAGAGCAACACCCUGUCUCAA
Molecule: unclassified non-coding RNA, 149 nt
Organism: Macaca fascicularis (crab-eating macaque)
Lineage: Eukaryota; Metazoa; Chordata; Mammalia; Primates; Cercopithecidae
Rfam family: Metazoan signal recognition particle RNA
About the family: The signal recognition particle (SRP) is a universally conserved ribonucleoprotein.
Source: Ensembl